This 377-nucleotide ribosomal RNA is filed under the name uncultured bacterium. Its description in RNAcentral is "bacterial SSU rRNA". It matches the Rfam family "Bacterial small subunit ribosomal RNA", at positions 521 to 895 of the family's 1533-position model. The record is from RNAcentral.
UAAUACGUAGGGCGCAAGCGUUGUCCGGAAUUAUUGGGCGUAAAGAGCUCGUAGGCGGCUUGUUGCGUCGGUUGUGAAAGCCCGGGGCUUAACCCCGGGUCUGCGGUCGAUACGGGCAGGCUAGAGUGUGGUAGGGGAGAUCGGAAUUCCUGGUGUAGCGGUGAAAUGCGCAGAUAUCAGGAGGAACACCGGUGGCGAAGGCGGAUCUCUGGGCCAUUACUGACGCUGAGGAGCGAAAGCGUGGGGAGCGAACAGGAUUAGAUACCCUGGUAGUCCACGCCGUAAACGUUGGGAACUAGGUGUUGGCGACAUUCCACGUCGUCGGUGCCGCAGCUAACGCAUUAAGUUCCCCGCCUGGGGAGUACGGCCGCAAGGCU